GUUUGGGUGGCGGACGGGUGAGUAACGCGUAAAGAACUUGCCUCACAGUUAGGGACAACAUUUGGAAACGAAUGCUAAUACCUGAUAUUAUGAUUUUAGGGCAUCCUAAGAUUAUGGAAGCUAUAUGCGCUGUGAGAGAGCUUUGCGUCCCAUUAGCUAGUUGGAGAGGUAACGGCUCACCAAGGCGAUGAUGGGUAGCCGGCCUGAGAGGGUGAACGGCCCCAAGGGGACUGAGACACGGCCCUUACUCCUACGGGAGGCAGCAGUGGGGAAUAUUGGACAAUGGACCAAAAGUCUGAUCCAGCAAUUCUGUGUGCACGAUGACGUUUUUCGGAAUGUAAAGUGCUUUCAGUUGGGAAGAAAAAAAUGACGGUACCAACAGAAGAAGUGACGGCUAAAUACGUGCCAGCAGCCGCGGUAAUACGUAUGUCACAAGCGUUAUCCGGAUUUAUUGGGCGUAAAGCGCGUCUAGGUGGUUAUGUAAGUCUGAUGUGAAAAUGCAGGGCUCAACUCUGUAUUGCGUUGGAAACUGCAUGACUAGAGUACUGGAGAGGUAAGCGGAACUACAAGUGUAGAGGUGAAAUUCGUAGAUAUUUGUAGGAAUGCCGAUGGGGAAGCCAGCUUACUGGACAGAUACUGACGCUAAAGCGCGAAAGCGUGGGUAGCAAACAGGAUUAGAUACCCUGGUAGUCCACGCCGUAAACGAUGAUUACUAGGUGUUGGGGGUCGAACCUCAGCGCCCAAGCUAACGCGAUA
This 756-nucleotide ribosomal RNA is filed under the name uncultured Fusobacterium sp. RNAcentral describes it as "bacterial SSU rRNA". It matches the Rfam family "Bacterial small subunit ribosomal RNA", at positions 89 to 862 of the family's 1533-position model. The record is from RNAcentral. Lineage: Bacteria; Fusobacteriati; Fusobacteriota; Fusobacteriia; Fusobacteriales; Fusobacteriaceae.